Long non-coding RNA from Papaver somniferum (opium poppy), 806 nucleotides. RefSeq lists it as uncharacterized. Lineage: Eukaryota; Viridiplantae; Streptophyta; Magnoliopsida; Ranunculales; Papaveraceae. The transcript has 3 exons. The record is from RefSeq and is a predicted model, not a curated record.
AGGAGUUUACUUAAAUAUUUACACGGAAUGAUUUUGCUAAUUCUGGAAGUUUUAGAUUUAUUGAAAUAGGUUCUUCGGUAAAUAUUUUAAAGAAAAAAAAGCUUUGUUCGUAGGGAAAAUAUUUUAGCCCUGGACUUUUUUGUUCUCUCAAAAUUUUCCGUUCCAAAGACAAAACCUAGCAUUAAUAUCCUCUUUUUCUCUAUUUUUCUGCAGUCCGCCUUCUUGGUUUUUGAUCGAUUUUUUAUUGUUUGAUAUUUAGGUGUAUGGUUUAGAAGAACAAACACUAAAAAUCGAUGAUAUAUCCCUGCUUCGAUCUAUAACAAGAUGAUGCUUCGAUGUGCCAUUGGUUUUCUGGGAGAAAUGUAUCCCGUGCUUGGAAAUCAUUACAUAAAUGGGUCUGGAGGGUAUAAAAGAGCACCAUUAAUUAAUAACAAGAUAAAACACAAGCAAGGUAAGAGAAUCUAAAUGUAACUUGGCAAGUAAUACAUACAGGCAACUAAGUAUGUUUCAAAAUGUCUCAUAUGCGUGCAUUUGCACUAAACAUAUACUUAUAUUAAUUAGAGAAAACAAUAACCUUUCCUGCAUAUCCAUAUAAUACAUGCUUCCAAUACUGUCUCCAUAUACAACUUAUCACUUCAGUUUCUUGAGAGUAUUUGUUCAAACAAUUCUUGCUUCAAAAAUGUAGUGGCUAAAAAUGUAGAGUAUGGUAUGCUUGAAAUGGAUGACGUAUCUAUUGGGGGUUCGUUAAUUUGACACAUGGAAUUCAGAUUGAGCUAAAAAGAAAAAUGCUAGAAUAAGGCUUUACA